This 240-nucleotide ribosomal RNA is filed under the name uncultured Lactobacillus sp. RNAcentral's name for it is "partial 16S ribosomal RNA". It matches the Rfam family "Bacterial small subunit ribosomal RNA", at positions 122 to 354 of the family's 1533-position model. The record is from RNAcentral. Lineage: Bacteria; Bacillati; Bacillota; Bacilli; Lactobacillales; Lactobacillaceae.
UAACCUGCCCAAGAGAUCGGGAUAACACCUGGAAACAGAUGCUAAUACCGGAUAACAACAGAUGAUGCCUAUCAACUGUUUAAAAGAUGGUUCUGCUAUCACUCUUGGAUGGACCUGCGGUGCAUUAGCUAGUUGGUAGGGUAACGGCCUACCAAGGCGAUGAUGCAUAGCCUAGUUGAGAGACUGAUCGGCCACAUUGGGACUGAGACACGGCCCAAACUCCUACGGGAGGCAGCAGAU